CCUACGGGUGGCAGCAGUGGGGAAUAUUGCACAAUGGGCGAAAGCCUGAUGCAGCAACGCCGCGUGAGCGAUGAAGGCCUUCGGGUCGUAAAGCUCUGUCCUCAAGGAAGAUAAUGACGGUACUUGAGGAGGAAGCCCCGGCUAACUACGUGCCAGCAGCCGCGGUAAUACGUAGGGGGCUAGCGUUAUCCGGAUUUACUGGGCGUAAAGGGUGCGCAGGUGGUUUCUUAAGUCAGAGGUGAAAGGCUAGGGCUCAACCGUAGUAAGCCUUUGAAACUGGGAAACUUGAGUGCAGGAGAGGUAGGCGGAAUUCGUGGUGUAGCGGUGAAAUGCUUAGAUAUCAGGAGGAACUCCGAUGGCGAAGGCAGCCUGCUGGACUGUGACUGACGCUGAUGCUCGAAGGUGUGGGGAGCAAACAGGAUUAGAUACCCGGGUAGUC
RNAcentral lists this ribosomal RNA (439 nucleotides) under uncultured bacterium. RNAcentral's name for it is "partial 16S ribosomal RNA". It matches the Rfam family "Bacterial small subunit ribosomal RNA", at positions 338 to 795 of the family's 1533-position model. The record is from RNAcentral.